GAUGAACGCUGGCGGCGUGCCUAAUACAUGCAAGUCGAGCGAACAGAUGAGGAGCUUGCUCCUCUGACGUUAGCGGCGGACGGGUGAGUAACACGUGGAUAACCUACCUAUAAGACUGGGAUAACUUCGGGAAACCGGAGCUAAUACCGGAUAAUAUAUUGAACCGCAUGGUUCAAUAGUGAAAGACGGUUUUGCUGUCACUUAUAGAUGGAUCCGCGCCGCAUUAGCUAGUUGGUAAGGUAACGGCUUACCAAGGCAACGAUGCGUAGCCGACCUGAGAGGGUGAUCGGCCACACUGGAACUGAGACACGGUCCAGACUCCUACGGGAGGCAGCAGUAGGGAAUCUUCCGCGAUGGGCGAAAGCCUGACGGAGCAACGCCGCGUGAGUGAUGAAGGUCUUCGGAUCGUAAAACUCUGUUAUUAGGGAAGAACAAAUGUGUAAGUAACUAUGCACGUCUUGACGGUACCUAAUCAGAAAGCCACGGCUAACUACG
RNAcentral lists this ribosomal RNA (495 nucleotides) under uncultured bacterium. Its description in RNAcentral is "partial 16S ribosomal RNA". It matches the Rfam family "Bacterial small subunit ribosomal RNA", at positions 28 to 505 of the family's 1533-position model. The record is from RNAcentral.